RNAcentral lists this ribosomal RNA (244 nucleotides) under uncultured Pseudanabaena sp. RNAcentral describes it as "partial 16S ribosomal RNA". It matches the Rfam family "Bacterial small subunit ribosomal RNA", at positions 457 to 700 of the family's 1533-position model. Lineage: Bacteria; Bacillati; Cyanobacteriota; Cyanophyceae; Pseudanabaenales; Pseudanabaenaceae. The record is from RNAcentral.
UUAGGGAAGGUAAUGACGGUACCUAACGAAUAAGCAUCGGCUAACUCCGUGCCAGCAGCCGCGGUAAGACGGAGGAUGCAAGCGUUAUCCGGAAUUAUUGGGCGUAAAGCGUACGUAGGCGGUUUUAUAAGUCUGUUGUCAAAGCCCGAGGCUUAACCUUGGAAAGGCAAUGGAAACUGUAAGACUAGAGAGAGAUAGGGGCAGGAGGAAUUCCAGGUGUAGCGGUGAAAUGCGUAGAUAUCUG